UCUAAUCCAGGCAAAACAAAAUCACUCUCUUAGUCUCUCUAACCCUCGAUGAAGACUCCUCCAUCUCACCGGUUCAGAUUUAGGAAGACGUUGGCAUCACAAUGACACUAUCUCUCUCUCUCUCUAACCCUGAAUUCAAUCUUCGUACCUCGAACGAAGAAAUCUAGGAAAACGGGGAAGACGAAGGCAACCUUGGGGUUAAGAUCUUCAAAUCUGAUAUCCAUUGUAUAUUUUAUUUUAAUAUUAGUAUUUGUGUCUGCAAUCUAGAUCUCCACAAAUAUAAAAGAAACGUGGUGUAUUUGUGAGGUACAAUAUCGAUCUGCUUCAAAUUUGACAUGUGCAUUGUAGGCUGGAGAUUUAAUGUUAGCCGAGGUGUAUUUUGUGAACCUAGACCCAACGUCUUAAUCAUCCGUCAGUCCCCUGUUUUUGCAAUGAACAGAAUUUGAAUGAUUUCGUCAAUUUGUAAUUACGUUUUGUUUUCAAAUUUUGUAUGAUUAGGUGUGAUAUUCAUACGAGAAAAUGUGAGAUGAUGCUGAAUUUUUUGUUUCAAAUUUUGCUAUGAAUUUUUAACUUUUUUAUAUGCACAGAAGAUAUUUAGAUAAGAUGAUACUGAAAUGAUUGUCCACUAAGAUAGCGUAGGAUUUAAACGUUUGAGGGGUUAUGAAAAAUCUAGCCCUCUGUUGGUGUGGAUAUAUGCAGUGAUUUUUCAUAUAUGUACAAUUUGAAGGUUCUUAAGCAAUAAUAUUUUUGUGAAUGAUUUAGGAUUGAUCAUGGCCGAGAAGAAUAGAGGAAUUUGUCAUUCUUGCAGAGGAGCACAUGAUGCUCGAAUGCCUCAAAAAGAGAUGUUCAAACUAUGGAGAGGGG
RNAcentral lists this long non-coding RNA (864 nucleotides) under Olea europaea (common olive). RNAcentral's name for it is "long non-coding RNA (OEUR_LNC005670)". The record is from RNAcentral. Lineage: Eukaryota; Viridiplantae; Streptophyta; Magnoliopsida; Lamiales; Oleaceae.